Molecule: ribosomal RNA, 1450 nt
Filed under: uncultured bacterium
Lineage: Bacteria
Description: bacterial SSU rRNA
Rfam family: Bacterial small subunit ribosomal RNA
Source: RNAcentral
GAUGAACGCUAGCGGCAGGCCUAAUACAUGCAAGUCGAACGGUAAGUAGUGUAGCAAUACAUUGCCUAGAGUGACGUACGGGUGCGUAACACGUAUGCAACCUACCUUGUACAGGAGUAUAGCUCGGGGAAACUCGAAUUAAUCCUUCAUAGUAUAUCUGGAUGGCAUCAUUUGGAUAUUAAAACUUUGGUGGUACAAGAUGGGCAUGCGUCUGAUUAGUUAGUUGGCGGGGUAACGGCCCACCAAGACGAUGAUCAGUAGGGGAACUGAGAGGUUGAUCCCCCACACUGGCACUGAGAUACGGGCCAGACUCCUACGGGAGGCAGCAGUAGGGAAUAUUGGUCAAUGGAUGGAAGUCUGAACCAGCCAUGCCGCGUGCAGGAAGAAGGCCUUCUGGGUUGUAAACUGCUUUUGCCAGGGGAUAAAAUACUUGUGCGCAAGUAAUUGAAGGUACCUGGUGAAUAAGCCACGGCUAACUACGUGCCAGCAGCCGCGGUAAUACGUAGGUGGCAAGCGUUGUCCGGAUUUAUUGGGUUUAAAGGGUGCGUAGGCGGUCUAUUAAGUCAGUGGUGAAAUACUCUAGCUCAACUAGAGGGGUGCCAUUGAUACUGAUGGACUUGAGUCAAGUCGAGGUAGGCGGAAUUGACGGUGUAGCGGUGAAAUGCUUAGAUAUCGUCAAGAACACCAAUAGUGAAGACAGCUUACUAGGCUUAAACUGACGCUGAGGCACGAAAGUGUGGGGGAUCAAACAGGAUUAGAUACCCUGGUAGUCCACACUGUAAACGUUGAUUACUCGCUGUUGGCGAUACACAGCCAGCGGCCAAGCGCAAGCGAUAAGUAAUCCACCUGGGGAGUACGCCGGCAACGGUGAAACUCAAAGGAAUUGACGGGGGUCCGCACAAGCGGUGGAGCAUGCGGUUUAAUUCGAUGAUACGCGAGGAACCUUACCUGGACUAGAAUGCCCUUGACUGUUCCAGAGAUGGAAAGUUCCGCAAGGACAAGGAGCAAGGUGCUGCAUGGCCGUCGUCAGCUCGUGCCGUGAGGUGUUGGGUUAAGUCCCGCAACGAGCGCAACCCUUAUUUCUAGUUGCCAACAUGUCAUGGUGGGGACUCUAGAAAGACUGCCCGCGCAAGCGGAGAGGAAGGAGGGGAUGACGUCAGGUCAUCAUGGCCCUUACGUCCAGGGCUACACACGUGCUACAAUGGCGUAUACAAAGUGUUGCAAGCCAGCGAUGGUGAGCCAAUCACAAAAAGUACGUCUCAGUUCGGAUUGCAGGCUGCAACUCGCCUGCAUGAAGUUGGAAUCGCUAGUAAUCGCGCAUCAGCAAUGGCGCGGUGAAUACGUUCCCGGACCUUGUACACACCGCCCGUCAAGCGAUGGAAGUUGGGAGGACCUGAUGACAGUUGCUGUAAGGCGCUGUUUAGGGUUAAACCGAUGACUGGCGCUAAGU